CUUGCACGAACCGCAACGAUUUGUACACAAUAAUACACACACACACGCUCACACAGAAACACGAUUAUGUGCAUAGUUCGUUGAAGUUUCAAUAAUAUUUCACCGCGUAUUGCACGUGUAGUAUAAUUUUAGCAAAGAAAAAAGGGUGCACUAGAAACCUGGAGGAGGGAGGCAUGUUCGUCACGUUGGUCAUUCGAAGGGGGUUGUGAGCUAGAGCUGGAAAUUAUCCAAUAUUCGCUUCGAUUCGAUGCUUCCGCCACUAUCGAUGGUUGCUGUUCAGCUCUGGGAACCAAGAAAAACAAAAGGGAGAAUUGUUUUUGAUUUUAUUUACUAUUAUUUGUAAUAAUUAAUUUUGUGCAAAUAUACGAUUUCACUGAUGGUGUUGGCA
This is a long non-coding RNA of Scaptodrosophila lebanonensis, 388 nucleotides long. RefSeq lists it as uncharacterized. NCBI's taxonomy places the organism in Eukaryota, Metazoa, Arthropoda, Insecta, Diptera, Drosophilidae. The transcript has 2 exons. The record is from RefSeq and is a predicted model, not a curated record.